This 464-nucleotide ribosomal RNA is filed under the name uncultured bacterium. Its description in RNAcentral is "bacterial SSU rRNA". It matches the Rfam family "Bacterial small subunit ribosomal RNA", at positions 339 to 796 of the family's 1533-position model. The record is from RNAcentral.
CUACGGGAGGCAGCAGUGGGGAAUCUUGCGCAAUGGGCGAAAGCCUGACGCAGCAACGCCGCGUGAGGGAAGAAGGCCUUCGGGUUGUAAACCUCUUUCAGGAGGGACGAAGCUUCCGGGGUUAAUAGCCUACGGGGUGACGGUACCUCCAGAAGAAGCCCCGGCUAACUACGUGCCAGCAGCCGCGGUAAUACGUAGGGGGCAAGCGUUGUCCGGAAUCAUUGGGGGUAAAGCGCGUGUAGGCGGCUUGAUAAGUCCGGUGUGAGACCUUGGGGCUCAACCCCAAGCCUGCAUCGGAUACUGUCUCGCUCGAGUUCGGGAGGGGAAAGCGGAAUUCCUAGUGUAGCGGUGAAAUGCGCAGAUAUUAGGAAGAACACCAAUGGCGAAGGCAGCUUUCUGGAACGAUACUGACGCUGAGACGCGAAAGCGUGGGGAGCGAACAGGAUUAGAUACCCGUGUAGUCC